AUUGAACGCUGGCGGCAGGCCUAACACAUGCAAGUCGAACGGUAACAGGAAGAAGCUUGCUUCUUUGCUGACGAGUGGCGGACGGGUGAGUAAUGUCUGGGAAACUGCCUGAUGGAGGGGGAUAACUACUGGAAACGGUAGCUAAUACCGCAUAACGUCGCAAGACCAAAAAGGGGGACCUUCGGGCCUCUUGCCAUCGGAUGUGCCCAGAUGGGAUUAGCUAGUAGGUGGGGUAACGGCUCACCUAGGCGACGAUCCCUAGCUGGUCUGAGAGGAUGACCAGCCACACUGGAACUGAGACACGGUCCAGACUCCUACGGGAGGCAGCAGUGGGAAUAUUGCACAAUGGGCGCAAGCCUGAUGCAGCCAUGCCGCGUGUAUGAAGAAGGCCUUCGGGUUGUAAAGUACUUUCAGCGGGGAGGAAGGGAGUAAAGUUAAUACCUUUGCUCAUGGACGUUACCCGCAGAAGAAGCACCGGCUAACUCCGU
RNAcentral lists this ribosomal RNA (488 nucleotides) under uncultured bacterium. RNAcentral describes it as "partial 16S ribosomal RNA". It matches the Rfam family "Bacterial small subunit ribosomal RNA", at positions 30 to 506 of the family's 1533-position model. The record is from RNAcentral.